UUUGUGAAUUGUUUCCUGUCUUAGGAAAUUAGUAAUCUCUCAUAUCCUGUUCUUGCAGGAAGAAUUUUAAAUCAUUUCUCCAAAGACAUUGGGCAUAUGGAUGACUUGCUGCCCCAGACAUUUCAAGAUUUCAUCCAGAUGUUUCUACUUGUGAUUGGUGUGGUGUCUGUGAUGGUGGCUUCGAUUCCUCGGAUUGCUAUAUUUGUGAUUCCCCUUGGAAUCAUUUUCUUUGUUCUCUGGUGGUAUUUCUUAAGGACAUCAUGAGAUGUGAAAUGCCUGGAAUCUACAACACAGAGUCCAGUGUUUUCUCACUUAGCAUCUUCUCUCCGGGGACUUGGGACCAUCCGGGCGUACAAAGCUGAACACAAGUUUCAGAAACUGUUCGACACAUACCAGGAUUUGCACUCAGGUCUGUCAGUUUCUGGAGAUGAUUUCAAAGUAUGAGGUCUGCUGCCUUCUGAGGCCUGAUCUUCUUCUCAGGUGGCCUGGCUAUUCUGUGCCACCCCUUAUCCCCCUCUGCACACCUGCCUCCC
Molecule: long non-coding RNA, 533 nt
Filed under: Bos indicus x Bos taurus (hybrid cattle)
Lineage: Eukaryota; Metazoa; Chordata; Mammalia; Artiodactyla; Bovidae
Description: lncRNA (ENSBIXG00005004815.1)
Source: RNAcentral